AGCUGCGCGAGCCGCUGCGGAGGGAAGGGCUCCUAGCCAAUUGGGGUCUUUGAGGCGAAUGCGAGGCUGGGGCCGGUUGCCUACCGGCCGCUUCUCGCCGAGGCAGUCCAGACUUUUCCCCCGGCGGUGCCCGCUCCAAGACAGCAUCUGUCAACGCUCCUCUUCUCCCCUCCUCCUCCUGCCGGGCCGGGCUCCGCCGGCUGCGGCCGAGAGGACGCGGGACCCGGCGCGGUGAGCCCAUCAGCUGUCAGGCGAGCGGCGAAGCGGCUGGAGGGCGGCGAGAGACACACAAAGAACGCGGUGGGCGGCGGCGGCGAAAGGGGACGGCAACUCCUCCCCGCGCCCGCCGGUGCCACCGCCGGCCGUGCUUGUUCCGAGGCCGCGCAGACAAUGCGGCCGGGCUCGUCCCCGCGUGCCCCAGAGUGCGGAGCGCCCGCGCUCCCCCGACCCCAACUUGACCGUCUCCCGGCUCGCCCAGCCCCCUCCCGGGGUAGGGGCGCCCCCUCCCUCCGGUGGCCGGCGAAGGAAGUCGGUCCGCGGCCGCAGAUCCCGGCAACUUGCGAACCGGGAAAAGUUUGCGGCGCCUCCGCGGGGCGGCGCGACGCGGCCCGCCCCUCGCGUCCGCGGUCAUCGCGGGUGACUUUCUCGACUCGUCGUCAGCCGGGGCCGCAGCGCGGCCGGUGGGGACUGCGGGGCGGGCCGGAGUCCGUCCGAGGGCUCCCGCACCUCGGGCUGCGGGAACAUUAAAAUCUCCCCAGAUGCUCACUGCUCUGAUCAUUUCCCCUACAGCACCAGACAUGUUGGCAUCAUCUCUUAGUUGGGCCAUGUGGCCAGGGAACCCUUCAUGAAACCACCUCUGCAGUCCUGGAGAGUUGCUGUAGAAGAAGGAAAAGAGAGGAAGACAACACAACACAGGAGGGGAUAAGUACCUCUGGACACAAUGGAAGUAGUAGUUGUUGAGCAGAGGGAAAGGGAUAGGAGAAGGAUGUGGACUGCAGUGCUGCAGUGCCAGGUAAUAACUUUGAUCAUGUACCUCCUUGGCUCAGGUGCUGUCUCUUCUACUCUCCUCCUUACUUGUACUACCUUAUUUAGCACUUAAUUAUAUACUUUCUUGACUCACUUUGAGACACACUGAUUAUGUGGUCUGCCUCAAAGACAGAAUCCUAGUUUUGGAUUUUAGCAUUACUGAUCUAUAGCCUUGCAGGGGCUUAAGGAUGGCAGCUGUCUCUCUCCCUUGGGAUCUAGCUUUUGCAAAUAUUGAAGGGAAGAGAUUUCUUUGAUCUUAUAGGAAUAGAUCCACAGUUCCUCUCCAGAUUUGCUUUUAUAGAGAAGUGUGUGUCACCAAAACAAUGGAGAUACGGUCAGAGAGGCCCCUACCCCCAGAAUUUUAAUAUAAUUUUACUUUCUGGGGCAUUUAUUCUUGACAAAUACUUUCUCUCCUAUCAGCUCACUUGUUCCUCACAAAAACCCUAUAAGAUAUUAAUAUUAUUAAACAGACCCCUAUGAAGCACCUCAAGUCUUUCUCUCUUCCCACUUCCAUUCUUGCACACCUUUUGCUAGACUAGUCUCUGCGUUCAUCACAUCAGGUUUCUAAAAUAAAAGUCCCCUAAUAACUUUCUAUUUGUUCUCUCAUCAUAUUGAACCUUUUUUGCCUGGCUUAUAAGGUGGCCUUAAAACCCCAUUUUCCUCUAAACAUUGUCUCUGUAGUUCAGGAAUAUGGCAGGCUCAACACUAUGCUUGAGCCCAUAUUGCUUCCCUCAUUAGUGAUGCCUCCUCUCAGACCACCCAGAUUCUACUCAUUCUUCAAUUUCCAGCUUCUCCUUGGAGCCUUCCCAGAUCAUUAGCUUCUUAAAAAUCCCAGCUUUCUCUGAAUUCUGAUGGUAGCCCCCGUUAUUUGGACAAUUAUGUCCUGGUCUUAAAGUCCUAAUGGGAAAAAAAAGUACAUGAUGGACUUCAUGUAGAGAAGAAAGCACUGGACUGAGUUUUAAGACAGCUGCUAAGGAGCUGUGUGAGCCAAACCAGGUUACUUUACCUCUCUGGAUCUAUAUUUGCUGAUCUGUUAAGUGGAGACAAUUGGGUCAGAUAAUCUUGGUGGUCUUUGCUUAUUCUGAGGUUCUUGGACAACUUGGCCUAGUUCACGUGGGAUGGGAUUGAAGAUCUUACUGAGUUCUUGGAUGGAAAUGUCAGUAAUGGGCACUUAGUGCCUUCAGGACUUGUUCUAUACUAUCCCAGAAAUUUCUGAUGCUAAACUUGGCAAUUUUUAAAUGUCAUAUUCCUUUUCUCCAAACUCUUUAACCACAAGAAUUCAGGGAAGGUUAUGGGGGGUGACUUAGUUAUCUGGAUAAUACAUAUUGUGGACAAUAUAGCAUUAUCCUUGGGAAUGAUUUCAUAUUGUUGAAUAAAUAGGAUCAACUUCUUGAUAAACCUUAGUCCCAAGCAUUUCAUCUUCAUUGGAUAGUGUUACAUAGUAAUAUAUUUAUGUUUUCUUUUAAUCAUUUCAUAACUUGGAAAAUACUAACAUAGUCAAAACUCUAGGGUAGGUGAUACAUGAGUUUCUGUAGUAAUCUGGUUGGAGACAUGUUGUAAUUCUGUAUAUAUAUGUACAUUUAUCCCAUGCAUGUUAUGCCUAAACUAAGACGGAUACCCCUGAAUUAAGAGGUGCUGUUAUACAUUGACCAGGCUUAAGAAUAUCUCUUUAAAGUGUGUCGACAUUUAAUUGACCUUUGGAAGUUCAUUCUGUUAAUCAUACUCAAAGUGCUAAAGCUAUGGUUGACUGCUCUGGUGUUUUUAUAUUCAUUCGUGCUUUAGCAUAUAAAUUCUUCAGCAUAAUUGCUACUUAUUUAGCAAGAGUUUCCUUUAUUUGAAAAUGUGAGUUGUGCUUGUAUUUUUGUGUCUUUCUUUCUUUCUUUCUUUUUUUAAACUUUGCUUCAGGCUGGGUAGUGGUAGAGGUUUGAAUUAAAAUGUUUUCCUGUCAGUAGUUGUAUGAGGUGUGGCUUCUUAAUCUAGAAGUAAUGGAAAUUUCUUGCUUAAAUGAAGUGCACUUUUCUUCCUGCAGAAGUUAGAACUCUUUUAGACAAGCUUAACACUUCAAAACUGUAUAUCUUUAACAGAAACUUUUGGAAAUUUUUAAAUUCCAUUUGUGUAGAUUAAAAAUAUCAAUGCUAAUACUUU
This 3171-nucleotide long non-coding RNA is filed under the name Homo sapiens (human). RNAcentral's name for it is "non-protein coding LINC00472:2". The record is from RNAcentral. Lineage: Eukaryota; Metazoa; Chordata; Mammalia; Primates; Hominidae.